UUAUGAGUCUAUACCCAACAGAAAAAUAAAAGUGCUAGUAGAUAGUGGGAUAAAUUUAAAGGAUAAUAUAAUAUUAACUCAAAAAUUAGGUGAACUAUGUUCUAAAACAAAUUGCAGCACCAUCAGGGUUAACAUAAACAUAUGUCAUCAAACAAAUAUACAGUCUUCAGUUUUUAGAGCAACAUGACCAAGAAGCAAUUGUAGGAUAGUAUUGAAAAGGAAUAUGCACUCCUAAGGAAAAUGACAUGGGGAUGGACACAGGA
Molecule: long non-coding RNA, 263 nt
Organism: Sitophilus oryzae (rice weevil)
Lineage: Eukaryota; Metazoa; Arthropoda; Insecta; Coleoptera; Curculionidae
Exons: 3
Source: RefSeq, a predicted model, not a curated record